Long non-coding RNA from Thunnus maccoyii (southern bluefin tuna), 5995 nucleotides. RefSeq lists it as uncharacterized. The transcript has 3 exons. NCBI's taxonomy places the organism in Eukaryota, Metazoa, Chordata, Actinopteri, Scombriformes, Scombridae. The record is from RefSeq and is a predicted model, not a curated record.
AGCAAUUCCUAUAGGGCUGAGUGGGCGCCAUUUUUAGUCCGGUAUCCAGCUCUUCUAAUACAUCCAUGGUACCACCUGUGUUAAUUGGUCGUAGGUAGGGAAGAGAACCACGAAUGGCGGGAUUUGGGAAAAAAAACAACGAGAGAGAGAGAGAUACGAAAACAGAGAGAAACAGACGAAGCAGGAGAAAUGCGGAGAGACGAUAACUGAGAUAUUUUGGUGUAUGUUUAGCUAAACAGAAGAAAAGUGUAGCUGUAGUCAACUACGCACAUUUUUGCUUAAUCACAGUUGAUUAGCGAGACAGUUUGUGCGAGUGUGUGGCUGUGCUAAGCUAAAGUCUGUGAGCUCUGGAGCAGAGGACGCCAUUGCUGACCGGGAAGGGCUGUCUGUGCUUUCUGACGGAGAGUUCACGUCCGCUGCCGUCUGGUUUCAUCUUUCGGACCACGAAGUAUUGGUCCGGGACUGGCAUCGAGCUGUUUUCGUCUUCGCUGUCGUCUGGUUUCCUACUGCUGACCAAGAACUGUUGUUCCAGGACUGACGUCGAACUGUUUUCAUCUUCGCUGCUGUCUGGUUUCAUGUUUUGGACCACGGAUUGUUUCCCCGUGUCUGACAUCGAACUGUGACAGCAAGCUGCCAUGCAAGAUACAUGCCUGACCAUCAGGAGCAGUUCUGGGGUUCAGCGUCUUUCCCAUGGACACUUGGUUGACAGGAGGAGCUGGGGAUUGAACUGCAGACCCUGCAAUUAGUGGACAACUGGCUCUACCUCCUGAGCCACAGCCUCCCUGCAGGUACAGAACAAAGGUAAAGAGUCACUUGCCAGGUGAUCAGGUGCACCUGGAUAAAACUAAUGCAGUAUAAACAGCCCUGCAGUGAAUCCUCCUUUCAUGAAAGUUAAAAGGUCCCGUUUUUAUUUAAUCAUUUUUGAACCAUAUUGAGUCAUACUGAGAAGGUUUUCUACAAUUUUGUCCAAUCCAUUAUAUGAAUUAGAAUAGACUAAUUACAAACAACAGUAAAUGAACACAUCAACAACACUGAUUCUGAUUCUUCAGCUCAGCAGUAUGUUCAGUCUGUUGCUGGUUCAAGCUGUUGCAUUCAGUUCAGAACAAAACUAGAUCUUUACAAGAACUGUUUAUAUGGUUAACAGCUCAUAAGCCAACUAUUUCAGCAGAGUCAUCGCAUUAUGAUUAUGUCUGUGGGUUUUCAUCAUCUUUAAAUAAGUUUUUAAUGAGGAAGUAACAUACUGUGAAUCAGGGCUAAUCUGACAAGGGCGCUCUCAGUCAUCAAUGAGGAGCUCCACCACUCAAAGCUACUGAUUUGUUUAGUGACAGUGGUGAUUCAGUGAGCUCAGUUCUUGGUGUCAAAGAUUCCUUUUGUACAUGUACUGACCACCUCUAGAAACAUACAAAGAUAUACAUUCAGAAUAUGACUGACUGUGUCAUGGCUUCAUAUAAUUCAUCUGCUUCUGUGUAUUCCUGUUGCUGUGUUUUACCAAUCUUUCCUGCUAUUCCUCACCUGCCCACUAGCUGUACUCAUGGCGCUGUCAGAUCAGAUUUUGCUUCCCAGUAAUCUAUUUUUUUUAUUUUUUUCGGUUUCCUUUUUUGUUCACAGUUUUUUAUUACAAAAGACUUGACCGAGUGAAGAUACAAAUAUGAAAUACUUUGUGCAGCCUCUACCCACAGGAUACAAAGAGGAUAGUUAUUGUCAAAGCAUGGCUAUAAGAAAAGACAAUCUGUAGUUUUGGUCAAUACUUACCUUGUGGGAGGCACACAGUGUAAACUGAGCUAUAUGAGAACCUCACUUGGAUGUCAAGUGUGUAUUGAAUUAGGAAUCAUUUGUCUGUAAUGCAGCAGGCCUGACACUCAAAUUGAAAUGUACUGUUUGGUUCUAUUAUCAAAACUCUGCAGAAGUAUGCAAAGUGCAAGCAUACAGCUAUAAACUAAAUAUAUCAGAGAUAAAACUCCGUGUAAUUUACAACUCUGUGGACUGUCAGUUUGUUUACAACCCUACUCAUGCUGUUGUCCUAUUUCACACUAUUGUCACACCACAUGGGUAAAUUUCUAGGGUGGAUCUUGGUCUCACUGCAGCUUCAUUGUUUCCUACCUAUCAUAUGACCAGUCAGUCUGUGUCUAAUUAGUCUCAGCCCAAGUAUAUAUACUCCUCCAGCCAGUAUUAUCUAGCAUGGCUGUAUAGUUGUUUCUUUUUUCCCUGUGUGUUUGACCUCCUCUCUGCUUUUGAGACCUGCCUUUGCCCUUUAGAUUUGUCUUCCUGCCUCUUCCUUCUCAGUAACCGCUGAUAUUUUUAUCUUUGACCACGUUAAGGCAGUUUUUGCCUUUCAAUCUCUGCGUCGAGAUUCUGCAUUUGAGUCCUCAUUCCAGUGCCUGUUGCCCGAACCCUCACAACAGGUUGAAAAUAUGAAUGUAAUUACCUGUGGUAUUUUCACUAAGUUGGUGAAAUGGCUACAAAUCAAGAGAAAAUCAAUGGCAAAAGGUGUUACUGUUUUUUUUUCAUGCUUAAAUUGAUAUUUAGCCUAAAUGUUGUUAUCUGUCACACAGAAUGAUGAACGGUGCAGCAAGAAAAGGUAAAAUGUCAAAUAAGUUACCGUGAAGGUUGGUUACAAUGGAGGACUGCAUCUAGGCUUACUGAAUUUGCAUUAAAAAUAUUGAAAUAUGAAUAAAGACUGGAGUAUUAACCAUGAAGCUAUGAAUAUGUGCAUAUUAAUCCAUCGAGAUGGGCAUUGGUGUACUCACAUACUGUAAAUUGUCAUACCAACAUACUGCUGACCCUGACGUCUGACCUCCCUUUGGAAAAAGGUAGGAAAAAGAUUAGUUCUCUUAAGAAAUGAGUAAAUUAUUUAAAUUGUUUUAUUGAAAAAUAUUGAUUGUGGUUUACAGUUUACUAUUUUUUGCUUAUCAAAAUGUGUUUCCUGCCCACAGUGAACAAUAAUCAGGUCAUUUUAAAUGGAACUCUGAGACUUGUAUUGUGAAAAUGUUCUUGGCAUUAUCGCCAGUAACCACAGGUGUUCCAAAUUCAACCAAGACUGAAAUUUUAAGGUUUACAUCUUUAAGAUUUCACAAAACCAGGAGCCUGAGGCAAGUUACACUUGAUCUGGCUCUCUUUGGGUAACCUUACUUCACUGAGCUUCAUAAUUUACUGAGCUAAUUAAGUGUGUGCACAAUUAAUAUGCUACUAUGAUCAACAUUCACUCUCUUGUUUGAUGGUUUCCACUCUGGGAGACAUGGGGUGCUUCUCACUAGUCUGAAAUGUCUCCUCACUUGCAUUGUAGAGAUGCAAGGAAAUUAUGUCAGGGAAGAGGAAUCAGGGAAACUCAUUUUUAGAGAAAUAAGAUAUCCCUUCAUAGCAUGUGUCAUUUGGAGAUUCAAUUUGUGAUGAUGGCAGCACACAAAUAUAUUUUAUACUAUAUACAUAUAUAGAUUAUACUAUACUACAAUGUGUCUGUUCCACCCUACUAACCCUGAAAGCAUGUUGUUUUAUACAAAUCCUAUCAAACUGGCAUCAAUGUCCAAAGUAAUGACAAAGUAGCAAAUUGUAUCAAAACAACUGGUUUCCAAUCAGGCCACUAACCAAGAGGGUAUUUAAGUAACAGAACAUGUGCAUCCAUGCAACAACAAACAUGGACAGACAAACCAGAAUUUCUAGUGCCCUUAUAAUCUGGAACCAGCUCCAGGAUGAACUACAGCAUUCUAUGUGCAGGAAAGCGUGUCUACAUCGUGCAAUCCUGCUCCUCCAUGAGCUAAUCAUCAUUUAUGCUCCAAAGUUAUUUAGAGAAAAUGAUGCUCAUGACGCCACAUGCAUCAUUGCAGGGGUGACAUGCAUCCAUGGUUGGAUUUUGGUUCCCAAUUCACAUAACAUAUGGCACUGUGUCAUUCAUGCAAAAGCACAGAGCAUAUUAACUUAGAUGGAAUAAUUUCACAUGGAUAAUCAGAGACAAACACAACACACACAUAUCAAUACUAUAAUUCUCAAUGUGAUCACAAAAUAUCACACACUUACAGUGCUUUUUAGAAAUGUGCCCACAAGUGUAUAUUAUGUUCAGAACUUGAUAUACACUUGUGAGCUUUUGCAGGCUGGAAUCUCAGUAAGACUUUUGCUUUUUCACAUAUAUUGAAAUCAGCCCGUGCCUGUCCUGGAAGUGUACUUCAGCCAACAAACAAACCUCAUUCCAGACUGAGCCAGACCUCAAUAGAGGAUUUAAUGAGGUUUUUGCCACCACCUGAGCAAUGAGGCUGGGGACACCAAAUUAAUGCAGUGUAUUGGCUUGCCCAUGGCCAGUCCUACACAGUGGUGUCCCAGGCCUUUCAGGUCCCCAGGGUCACUGUGUGCAGAAUGGGUUAGGGUUACACACUGGAGUCCAGAAGAUUGCAUCCCUUCGCCAGGAGGUUGUCAUAUUGCCCACCGCUGGAGCACCAGGGAGGGCUAUUGAGGCCUUUACACAGCUAGCCAACACGAGUGUUCUCCAAGUGUGUGGAUGCCAUAGACAGCUGCCAUGUCCAUAUAAAUAUCCCCCCAUGGACCAAGCAGCCAGGAUUACCUUAACAGGAAGCUCUUCCCAUCAAUACAGUUGCUUGCAGAAUGUGAUGGGAAGGGCCUCUUCAUAAACGUCUUUGUGGGUUGUCCUGGCUCCAUCAAUGACACCAGAGUGUUGAAGAACAGCAUCGAAGAGGCUCUGUAUCCUCCUCCAGGGUCACUCAUUGUGGGUGAUGGUGGCUACCCCUGCAUUGAACAUCCUGUGGUUAUCAUCACCCCAUGUAGGGAAUCACCACAGGAGAGGAUGCAAAGCCUUUUCAGCCAGCACCAUACAAAGCACUGUGCCAGGUUGAAGACUCAUUUAGGGGGGGCAUGAAGCAGACAUGGACAGCAUGACUGUCUUUAGGGCUGCUCUAUGUUCCGCCAAUGUACCCUGCACAGCUUCAAAACCACAACUACUUGUAGUAAUUUAUUCUUGAUAGUCUAGUUUAUUCUUGUUGUUUUAGUUAAUCCAUCUGAGUUCAAUGGCAUCUUAUACUUAUCCUGCAAGCUUUUUACUUUUGAUGAGAAUUCUAUUAAAAAACAAAGCCUUUGUUCACAAGCAGAUAAUCCCUGCUUGAAUCCAUGGUGGCAUUCAUCUUUGUACCACUUAUCAAAUAAAGAUGCAAAGCACAAAUCUGAUAUAUGAAAUUCAAGCCACAUGAUUCAAAACUAUGCCAUCACACUGGUGGAAACAAGGUUUUGAUCAUGACCUUUUGACUUUUUGUUAAACUACUCUGUAUGCAUUGUGCUUUCUCAAAAUACACCACUGCCUAUGGUCCUGUAAUACAUAAAUUUUGUACAAUUAAAAUCUUGGAUUUGUUUCCUCAAGGGCUUAAAAUCCUGUGUCUGAAGCAGUUGUCUUCUUGCAACUUUAUGCUGUCUAAUUCGACUCACACAAAGAGUCCAAUUUUUUAUGCCCUGUGGCAUCACAAUGUAAUAUUCAAACAAUGUCCAACAAAUUCAAAACAAAACUGUAUAAAACAAAGUUAUAAUACAAAAACUAAAAGUAAAAGUCAUGGCAUAAACAGCAUCUCAAACAUUAGCUCUUGACAAGUUCUCUUAAAACGUAUCAAAAAAUCUUUUCCUGGCCAGCCUUGAACUGCAGCUUCUUCUUGUAAGAGAGUCCUCAGUGAAGCUUUUAAAGUUCUCACUUUUUUGCUGGCUGGGGGACAGGCUGAAGUGGGCAGCUCUUGAGCAGAGUUACUUAUGCCUGGUUGUGUGGCCUCUUCAGCCACACAUAGCCAUUGUGCCUUUUGAUUUUAGUAUCUAAUAACAAUAUUCAGUUUCCUCGUACUGUGGAUUUUAAACAGACCUGCACUGGGGGGAAAGAUUGAAGACUAACUGGCAAAAUAACUGACAAAAUAAAAGAUAAGUAUAAUGUCCGAUAGUGCUCUGCCUAUUUUCCAGCAUGCAGUGGAAGGACUAAGUUCAUUUACUGUCAAAGUCAAAUUGGCUAUAUAUAUAUAUA